This 497-nucleotide ribosomal RNA is filed under the name uncultured bacterium. RNAcentral describes it as "partial 16S ribosomal RNA". It matches the Rfam family "Bacterial small subunit ribosomal RNA", at positions 28 to 507 of the family's 1533-position model. The record is from RNAcentral.
GAUGAACGCUGGCGGCGUGCCUAAUACAUGCAAGUCGAGCGAACAGACGAGGAGCUUGCUCCUCUGACGUUAGCGGCGGACGGGUGAGUAACACGUGGAUAACCUACCUAUAAGACUGGGAUAACUUCGGGAAACCGGAGCUAAUACCGGAUAAUAUAUUGAACCGCAUGGUUCAAUAGUGAAAGACGGUUUUGCUGUCACUUUUAGAUGGAUUCGCGCCGCAUUAGCUAGUUGGUAAGGUAACGGCUUACCAAGGCAACGAUGCUUAGCCGACCUGAGAGGGUGAUCGGCCACACUGGAACUGAGACACGGUCCAGACUCCUACGGGAGGCAGCAGUAGGGAAUCUUCCGCAAUGGGCGAAAGCCUGACGGAGCAACGCCGCGUGAGUGAUGAAGGUCUUCGGAUCGUAAAACUCUGUUAUUAGGGAAGAACAAAUGUGUAAGUAACUAUGCACGUCUUGACGGUACCUAAUCAGAAAGCCACAGCUAACUACGUG